AGAUAAUUUACCAGACUCACAUCGACAGGGAGAUUGAAUCGCUCAUUGAAAGAAUCCAUCCACCCAGGGUCUGUAUAGACAAUGAUUCCUGCAGCGAUUGCACAGUGGUGAAGAUUGACAGCGCAAACAGGCAUGGGAUAUUGUUGGAGAUGGUGCAGGUGUUGGCAGAGCUUGAUCUCAUCAUUUCCAAAUCAUACAUUUCUUCUGAUGGUGGAUGGUUAAUGGAUGCGUUCCACGUGACGGAUCAGUUUGGACACAAGCUUACUGACAAAGGCCUCGUCCAUUACAUUCAGCAGGCUCUGUGUGAAGCUAGAAGCAGCAAAGGAAUUUCAAGCGACAUAGAGCUCCGAAGUUGCAAUGAACUACCAGGAUCUAAAGUGUCGGUGUCAGCGUCGAACUUUGCCAUAGAGUUGACCACGAGGGACCAACCAGGCCUGUUUGUAGAUAUAUCAACUGCUCUACUAGGGUUGGGCUUCAACGUCAGCUCCGCAACGGCCUGGACCCACAAUGAAAGGGCGGCCUGCAUUAUCUAUGUGGAGGACGCAAACAAACUUGGGCCGAUCCACGACGCGGAAAGUUUGGCCCACUUGCAGGACGAGCUCCAGAAUGUGGUCAAGGCCCAAGACGGGGAGGAGGAGAAGAAAAGAGUGAGGCUGAGGCUGAGGAGCUUGGCCGCUGGGUGCGACCAUACGGAGCGGCGACUCCACCAGAUGAUGUACGCCGACGGGGACUACGAGAGGUCCGGCGCAUGCCAGAGCGAAAAGGAAAAUGGACAUGAGGGGAUAGAGGUGUCGGUGUGUAGGUACGCAGAGAAAGGGUACUGGGUGGUGAACGUGAGGAGCAGGGACCGCCCUAAGCUUCUGUUUGAUACUGUCUGCGUCCUCACCGACAUGCAGUACGAGGUGUUUCACGCCGCCGUUAGCUCCAACACCUCCAUGGCCGACCAGGUACUUCUUUUUCUAUUGCGCAAAACAUGCUUACACUUUAAAUUCUA
RNAcentral lists this small RNA (994 nucleotides) under Vigna angularis var. angularis. RNAcentral describes it as "Non-protein coding transcript". Lineage: Eukaryota; Viridiplantae; Streptophyta; Magnoliopsida; Fabales; Fabaceae. The record is from RNAcentral.